UACGAAGGGGGCUAGCGUUGUUCGGAAUCACUGGGCGUAAAGCGCACGUAGGCGGAUCGUUAAGUCGGGGGUGAAAUCCCAGGGCUCAACCCUGGAACUGCCUUCGAUACUGGCGAUCUUCGAGUCCGGGAGAGGUGAGUGGAACUCCGAGUGUAGAGGUGAAAUUCGUAGAUAUUCGCAAGAACACCAGUGGCGAAGGCGGCUCACUGGCCCGAUACUGACGCUGAGGCACGAAAGCGUGGGGAGCAAACAGG
RNAcentral lists this ribosomal RNA (254 nucleotides) under uncultured bacterium. Its description in RNAcentral is "partial 16S ribosomal RNA". It matches the Rfam family "Bacterial small subunit ribosomal RNA", at positions 524 to 776 of the family's 1533-position model. The record is from RNAcentral.